UACGGGGGGAGCAAGCGUUGUUCGGAUUUACUGGGCGUAAAGGGCGCGUAGGCGGUCAGCACAAGUCAGUUGUGAAAUCUCCGGGCUUAACCCGGAAAGGUCAACUGAUACUGUGCGACUAGAGUGCGGAAGGGGCAACUGGAAUUCUCGGUGUAGCGGUGAAAUGCGUAGAUAUCGAGAGGAACACCUGCGGCGAAGGCGGGUUGCUGGGCCGACACUGACGCUGAGUGCGCGAAAGCUAGGGGAGCAAACGGG
Molecule: ribosomal RNA, 255 nt
Filed under: uncultured bacterium
Lineage: Bacteria
Description: partial 16S ribosomal RNA
Rfam family: Bacterial small subunit ribosomal RNA
Source: RNAcentral